UGACCUCAAGUUCAUGAAUAACGUUUUCACAAGUGGUUCAUUCAAAUUCUCUGAGAUUUCAUCCCCAAACAAAUUUUGCAGUGUCAAAAAUAACUUGUUAUUCUCUUGUUGAACACUUGUCGUCCAAGCCGGAAUUGCAAAAUUGAUAACAUCAAAAACAUUAAUCUCUCCUAAAUCAGUUUCAUGUAUCACUUCAUAGCCUUCAUAUAUUCUAUGAUAAAAUUUGUUUUGAUAAUACAUCUUGAAAACUCUUAUUAUCCCAGCAUCACAAGGUUGAAUCUCAAAAUAUUUUAUAAACUAAUAAUUAUUAAUUUAUCGAUUAAAUAAUACCCCUACAAAAUAAUAAUAUUUCACGAUCCCAACUAUAUUAAUUUAGUGAGGUUUUAUUAUAUAUAUAAGUCAAAAUAUUCUCUCUUAGAACAUAGAUAUUAUCGAGAAUAACAUUAUACAUAAACUCACAAUAAAAAUUUAAUCAAAAUCAUCUUAUCAUAUCAGAAUUGUAUGCAUUGUUUUAUUAGAGUACCAUUAUUUUGAAUAGUGAAAUAAUAAUAUUAUAAGCAAUGUGUUAUAUAUACUUGCGCUUAUUUUAAUUUUACUUUCAUAUUGAGUUGAAUUUGAAUAAUUCAGAUUCAUGGUCAUUAAGUGAAAAUAAUUAGGAAAAGGAUUAUAAAUGUUCUUAAGAAACAAAUUAAUUACCCAUGCCUCUUAAGUCUUAGCUUAAUGUUUGCUUAAAUAAUUAUACAAAUAACCACCAUUUUGGGCUAAUAUUAAACGGUGCAACACUCUUUUCUUUUUUGGUCUCUUAGUUGUCACCAUCUUGAUAUUAUUGUAUUUAGUUUUGUCCACCUUACUUUAAUGUCUUCAUUCCUUUUUAGGUUAGUUUAACUUUUGAUCCAUUUUUUGUCUUUUAUAUUAUUUUAAAUAAAGAUAAAAAUAAAGAAAAAAUUACUUAACUACAUAUUUUCUUUUACCCUAUUUUCUAUUAUUUCCUACCAUUCUAAAAAAUUACAAAAAUCUCUCUUUUUUAUAAUUUCUCUCAUUUUUUUCGGAUACAUCACUAUAAACUAUCACCCCAAGAUUUAUUUUGUGAUUUAUCAAUUGCAAGUUAUUGAAGAGGUAGUUCUUCUCCAUCCAUUUUUUUCUUUCACUUCAUCAUGUAUUAAUUUUUUAUUUUUUUUAGAUUUUUCAUCUACAAAUUUAGUCGAAGAAGGAUGCAUCUUCAAUUUCAAAAUCAAAUUGUGGAAAAAACGCCCAAAAAAGGGUUGGGUGGGGGGGAGGUCGAGUUGUUGGUGGCUUCGGUAAGGGCUUUGGGUUGAGAUCCAUGGGUAACGUCAUUGUUGAAAAUGAAAAAAAAAACUACGAAAGUUGAUACAGAGUAAAAGAGAAAGUGUAGAAAUAUUUCUUCAUCAUUCUUUUUUUUUGCUUUCAACAGAUCAUAAUGUUGACUUUUUUUUCCAAUUUUUUGUUGUUCAUCUUUUUCCGAUACAUAUGGGUACAAUUUUGUAUGUAUCUAGUUGUUUUUGUUUCUUAAAUUAAUAUAUAAUGUAUUUGUUUCACCAUUAUGAUACAUUACAAUGUUAUCAAGAAUUGUUGGUGGCUCCGGUAAGGGCUUUGGGUUGAGAUCCAUGGGUGACGUCAUUGUUGAAAGUGAAAAAAAGCUACAAGAGUUGAUACAGAGCAAAUGAGAAAAGUGUGGAAGGAUUUCUUCAUCAUUUUUUUUUGCUUUGCUAGAUCAAAUUGUUAAUUUUUUGUUACUUUGAGCAAAUCUUUUAAUGUAUCUACUUGGUUUUGAUUCUUAAAUUAAUGUAUAAUUCGUUUGUUUCACCUUUAUGAUACAUUACAAUUUUAUCAUGUAUAGUAUAUCGUUUUCAAAUAUUAGUUUUGAUACAUAACCCUAAUUUAUUUUAACACAAAUUAGUAUGUAUAAUGAUCAUAGUCAUGUAUUGGAUACACAACUAUUACAUAUUUCGUUAUCUUUUACUACCGAUACAUACAUGAUACACCCAGCCUUAUUCAACUAGUAGAAGACUGUAUCUGUAGACACUAUCAAAAAUUACCAUUGAUACAUUAACACUAAUAUUUUAUAAUAAAAUCUAUUUGUAUCAUAUUCAUAGUUAUGUAUAUGAACAUAACUUUGUUAUGUAUAUAAUAUAGUUAUGUAUCAGAUGUUGCGAUGUAUCACAUGUUGUUAAGUAUCUGCAACACUGUUUUAUAAAUAAAUCAAUGUAUAUCAUAUUCAUUGUUUUUUAUAUGAUACAUAACUAUAUUAAAUUGUCAACUUUUUAAAAAUCUAUUACGAUUUGGAUGAGAUUUGAGAGAAGAAAAAUUGGAAUUUGAAUUGUUUGAAGCUGUUAUUUGGGAGAGAUUGACAUCAAUUAGAUUUGCAUGAUUUGGGGAAUUGAUAUUUAAUUUUAUAUCUAAUUUCCUUUUUAAUCUCAACAAACUAGUUGUAUAUUGUAUCAAAUGUGAUGUAUCCAGAAGAAUGAGAUGUAUCCGGAUGACAGCAAUUUUAGGGCAUUUUUGUAAAUUGGAUAAGAGUAGGAAUAAAAUGUAAUUUGAUCCUUACACUAUGGUAUUCCUAAAAAAUUUACAAAAAUAAAAACAUAAUACAUAAAUAUAUUAUUUAACUUAAUCUUAACUUAUAUUUAUGCCCUUCAACUUUUGACAUGGACAAAUAGAUGCUUAAACGUGUACAAAGUUAAGUAUAUAGACACACACCCUACGUAACAUCCUAAAUGACAAUUUGCAUCCUACAUGUAUUAUGUCACGUAGGACUCAUGUGUCUACUUGUUCAAUUUUAUGCAAGUUUAAGUGCAUUACCAAAGUUAGAGGGGAUAAAUGUAAAACGAAACUAAGUUACAAGACACAUUUAUAUAUUAUGUCUAAAAAUAAAUAUAGUAACUAACAAUAGUCUCAUAAAAAUAUAGAAAAAAUAAAUAAUUAUACUAAAGUGGUAAAUAAAAAAAAUAAAAUAUAUAUAUGCUAAAAUCACUAAUUUAUUUAUUAAAAUUAAUAUAUAUAUAUAUAUAUAUAUAUAUAUUAAUUUUAAUGGUAAAUAAAAAAAAUAAAAUAUAUAUAUGCUAAAAUCACUAAUUUAUUUAUUAAAAUUAAUAUAUAUAUAUAUAUAUAUAUAUAUUUGUUAAACGUUUAUUUUUUAUCUCGAAAUAAACGUCAAGAACUUUUGAUCCUUAUUUUCCCUUUGGAUAAUCUUUAAAAUCAAAAUUUGUUAAACGUAAUUUUUUACCAAUAGGAUAAACGAGGUCAAAAGUUCAAGUUCACACAUCUUUAAAAUCAUUUCCUUGAAUCAUAUGAAAAAUUUGAGGAAAAGCCCAAAAAACGACUUCGUUUUACUACCCAGACAACUAUCAGCGACCGUUGAUGUAAAAGGCGGGAGUGGACAGAAAAGGCGGGAAAUAUUUUAACAGUUAAAUAAAAUCCUCUACUAAAAUAACCCCCAAACUCCUUUAUAUUACACUUUCGCCACGCCUAUUCGUCUUCUUCCCCCAAAAAAACUCUCCCAAAUACUCACAGAGAGAGAAAUUUUCGCAAACAUGAAGAAAGCAAAAGACUUAGAAGAACUCAUCAAGUAUUGCGAACCUUAUUCCGAUGCUCAGGAGGAAUUACUAAACUGCCCUUUUGUGUAUGAGUACGAGGACACUCCACAAUCCUCGGCGUCGGUGGCAGUGACGCCGUCAGAGCCCACCGGAAUACUCAUGUUAUCUGUUCCAUCUACUGAUACAGAUGGACAAAGUUCCCCUCCCGAAAACGAAGAGUUCGAAACCCCGCCGGAGCAAAACAACUCGUCUCAGUCCUAUUUUUCUGGUUCCGAUGAUCCGAAACCGAGCACGAGUGCAGGUGUAGAUUGUCAACAGAAUAAUAACGGAGAUACUGAAGCUGUGAAUCGUGAUAAUCGGGAGGUUGUAGAUUUAGGAAAUGAUUCUGAUGAUCUAGGGUUUCCUAAUCGCCCAGAAAUUGAUGUUCAGGAUACAGGUGAGUUUGAAGAACAACUGCAGAAGAGGUAUAAGGUUUCUGAGGAGGAUUUGGAUGUGACAAAUUCAGUUCAGAGAAUAGUGAAGAAAGAGCCAAUUGUGAUUGAAAUUAAUCAGACUCGAACUCGGGAAGUAGAUACGGAGGUGAUAGGAGGUGGAAUUGAAAGAAAUGCAGAUUCUUCUACUGUGAAAAUGCCUGAGAGACGCGAGGAGGAGGAAGAUGGAGGAGAAAUGUGCGAUAAUGGUGAAAGAGGUGUAGAUGACAAUGAGACAUUGAAUGGUGGUGGCACUGGGGAAAUGGAUUGUAAUGGAAUAAAGGAUGGUGUUCGUGAAAGAGGUGCGGCGAGUAUGAAUUUAGACGUGAAUGAAAAGUUAAAUGGUGUUUGCGCGAAGGAAAUGCAUUCAAAUGGGAUAACAACAAGUGUUGGUGUGGAUGGUGGUUGUGCUGGAAGUGAUAAAGGAAGGCGUGAAUUGCCAUUAUCGAUGAGGGGAGGAGACAAGAGUGUUGGAUCCUUCGAAGAAGUUGAGAGGAGGGAAACCACGAAAGGGAGGUUUAAGGAUUUAGUGGAGGCCUUCUCUAUGAUUGUCGGGGAUGUGAGUGGUGAUGAUAAUAAUGAUAAAAAUGGUGCUGAUUUCCUCGAGACUGCCAAGAGAUGCGGAUUGAGUUUUCCUCGGCCUAGAUGGUGGCCACCGGAGGGAUUUGCUGAUUGAUUCACUAUCCAGUGAAGUACAUCUUUUGGGAAGACAUGGAAGAGUUCAGGAGAUAGAAGGGUUCACACUAACUGCAUAUUCGAUUGCCAGGUCCGUUGAUGGUUUGGAUACACAAGUGUGAAAGCAAUAGCUUUAAGCUACUACAAUGAUAGUAGUACAAAUUGGUUGAAUCUUUCUCGAUCAUCCAGGCUGGAGUGACACGCUCAUCGUGUUGACUUCACCAUUUACUGAAAUUUGAAAGAACAUUAGAUGAUGCUCCAAACUAGUACAUUGCUAUCAAGAUGGUGUUAUUUAUGCAAUGAAAUGUAUAAUAUGAUUGUUUGUGUAGAGAUUCGGAUAAAACUUUGAGACUUUCUGUUGAUAAUGUUUGAUUGGUGGUGUGUCAAUCAUAUGGAUGCAGAGAUAUUUGAAGUGUUUGAUCACCAAAGCCUUGUCUUUUGAUUGGCACCUAUGGAGGUUUUGUAUUGCUUCUUUUUCUAAAAUGAGAACUGCUCCUUCUUUUAUGAAUUAGGUGAUUCCAUAAAUGGGGUUUGGGUAUUGUAGAAUUAGGUGAUUUCCUUCCGUUUGUCUAAAGUUUUGAUAGACAAUUAUUUGAUACAUAUUAUGAUAGAAGAUAGCAACUUUGGAAUCCUUAGGCCUUGAUAAAGAGAACAUACUAAGCAAGCAACCCCGACCCCCCACCCACGCAACCAUUAUUUGCCUAUAUGUGGCAUUUCUAUCAAUCGGUGAAAAACUCACACAUACUGAGAGGGUACGAUUUCAAGGGAUGGACUUGCUUGAACAGCCAACCACGUGCUAUUCUAUUAGAAGAUGAAACCCAAAAGACCAUUAUUAACGUGUAGUAGAUGGCCUGAGUGGGUAAAAAAAGGUUGGUAGUAACUUUUCAUGUGUAGGAUGGAAAUUAGGUGGUGACUAAUUAGGUAGUGCAUAAAUUUUAAGCAACUUCAAGAUGAGAUCUGUCAUUGCCUAAUCUCAGUUUGUUAGAGGACUCUUGUUGGUGUCCUAGAUACAAAUUUCCAUCACACAACAGACAAGUUUGGCAAAAGGAUAAGCAUGGAAAGACUCAUCAAUCAUCAUCAACAAAACUAAAAGACAGAAGGGUGUCUUCAAUUUAAGUUAAAAAACAAAAAUCUCUAGACAUCACCACCUCUGCAUUUUCAGCUAUAUUGUACAAUUUGUCAACCUAUACAAAUGGAUGAAAAACAAGCAUAAUAUCCAUCCGCUAAAUCCAAAAUUUCGCUUAAUAUUAGGUUACCUGCAAAAAGGCAAAAGGCAACCAUCUGAAUCCCUUCGCGGAACUUUCUAUAUUUGGUAUGUGAUAUGCAGAGACAGUAAUGUGGUUUGGCCAAAUAAGGUUGUAAAUACGCUACAGACAGAAAGCCAAGUGUGAUAGUGUUUCUAGGGGUGGAUGAGGUGCGGGUAUAUGGAGCUACUGCUUGUGCUUGCUUGAGCUGCAAAACUUGCUGUUGGUAGGAGGAGUUCUGCCUGAGGGAAGGAGCUGUUGGAUGGCACAUCCAGCAGCAAGUCCUGAUCAGAACUUUCAUUUGUAAAACGGAAGGAAUUCUCAGAUGGCAAUGCGAAAAGGCUUUUUGGACUGAAGCAAGAGCUAUCAUUCUCCAUGAUUUCCUUCUGUUCAUAGCUGUUUUUCAUCGCCACCCUCUUGGGGCUCUUCAUUGUUGUGUUUACCCCUGAAGCAAAAUUCAAAUUAACUGUUAUUUCCGUCUGAAUUAAAAACAAGUUGAACCACACACUACACAAUAAUGGAGAAUAGGAUAGGUUUGAUUUCUUCUGAAAACAAUCAAUCAACUAAGCCUUGAUCCCGCUGCAAUGGGUAUAAAAAGCUCAUUUCGCAAGAACAAAUGGCUUCUAGUUUAGAUUAGAAAAUGCUUGAUAAAAGUUACGUACCACAAGACGUCAGUAUCCUAAUUGUUAUCACACCUUUUAUAUUCUCCCUUCAUGGUGGCAUGGAGGACCGGGGUGGAUCAUGUGGUCUAGAAAUACUAAUAAUCCUAUUGAACAUUUUAUAAUGCUUACCUAAUCAUAGAAAGUUGUGACUUUCGCAAAUAGUUGUUUUUACUAUUACAAGGUAACUGCCAGGAUGAAGAGCCAAAUAUACUAGCAAAAAAAAGAAAAUAAAUGGAGAAAUAGAAAGAGAUGCUGAGAUGUACUAAUUCAUUCACCAUUUAUUUAUAUUGAUUUCAGUUUCAAUUAUUGCAUUUCCUCCUAAACGUCAAAAGGCACGAACCAGGCUUUCUGAGUAAUCAUCUUUAGAAGAGAACAGGCCGUUGUAUAUGAUGAACAUAUUCUGUUCUUACCAGCUAGAUAAAGACGUUUGUGUAGAAUAAAAUACUCCCUCCGUUUCACAAAGAAUGACCUCCUUUCCUUUUUAGUCAGUUUAAAAAAGAAUGACCUCUUUCCUUUUUUGGUAACAUUUUACUUUUUGCUUUCCACGUGGCAUGUUUAAGACCACAAGAUUAAGGGCAAUUUUGUACAUUUGACAUAACUUUAAUUUAGGAUCACAAGAUUCAAAAGUCUUCUUUAUUUACUUAAACUCCGUGCCAAGUCAAACCAGGUCGUUCUUUAUGAAACGGAGGGAGUAGUUGGAUAAUUCAGUCACCUCAGAGGAUCAAAAGGUAAUGGAUACCAAGAUGCCUACUGUGUUCACGAUUUUCUUAUCCUCCUUCCCCAGCUUCUACAACUUCUUUAUAUUACCCACAUGACGCAGUACUCUUAACAUUUUAAUGAAGAUAAAGACCCGAGAUGUAAGUAUCUACUACAGUCUAUCAGGAAAAUUUGAAAAACUCCAAGUAUCUUGGGGUAAAACUUUGUUAUAUAAAGAAGCUAGUCUACCAGACAAGAGGAUUCGUAAAAUGCCAUAAAAGAAAUAAAAAGAGACAUGCAACGAACCUAAAUAUUUUGGAUGUUGCCCAUCGCGUGGUCUCUUCAUGUUCACAGAAUGACCUGUGCCAAAAACAUUGCUCCCUCCAGCAACUUCAGAACUACUGCUACUAUUUUUACAUUUCAUGUCCUGACAUAGAAGUAUAUUAGUUUUAAACUUCUAUCUAGCAAAUGUUGCAUAUAAGUGGGUGGAUCGCUCAUUGAAUUUUCAUAUGACAAAUCAUAAACAAGGCCUUACCUUAAGAAGAUUUACUUGUUCCACCCAUUUUGACUUCAUUAAAUAGCACAACAUAAACCUCUUCAGGUUUCUACAUUCUUCUACUGUCACCCCAGAUAACGAGUUAUCAAAAACGCCUUCUGCAAGAAGUUUCUGGAAGGAAGACAAAUUCUCCUCAAAUUGAGAGCUCUCGAACAUGCUCCUGAGACUGCAGAGAGAAUUGAAAAUAGGAAUAAGAUCAGAGCUCAACAAUGCAUUCUUCAAUCAGGCACCAGCACUUUAUGGUCCAAGUUCAACAUAACCAUCAAUUAUAUUUCUAAAGCCUGACUAGAACAAUUGAGAGAGGUGAAUCAAAAGAACAAGUGGUAAGCCCCAGAAAUGCAGCCUCUCAGUCAAAAGAUAAGUUCAUUCCUCCAUUUUUCUGGAAGGUUUUUCUUUUAAUCAAAUGCUCUUGUAAUCCAAAGUACAAAGAGAUCGUACAAACCUCUCGGGAGGUGAAAAAGAAUCAACCGGAGGUAAGUACUUUAGUAGUUGCUGUUGUUCAUCACUUGACAGAUGCCUUGUGAAUUCUUCAUAAUUAAGUACAUCCUGCAUAAAGAAUUGCCCACAAUCACAUUCAUUUCUGCAUAUUGCUUAUCUAAGAAAGUUUAAACUGUAGAGUCAUGUUUAGAUUCUUAAAGUAACUAUUAACAACUAAAAACAUGGUGAAAAACAAGCUCGAAAAUGGUUCUUUACCAUUAUAGAGGAAGCUUAUCCAUGCAAACUACCAUACUGUAAGAAUUUUCAGGUUAAAGUUUAUGCAUAAUGACAAUUAAAUGUAGAAGAUAAUUAUAACUCUAUGCAGAGAAUACCCAACUCAAAAGCCUGAGACGUAGGAAAACAGUGUGGAAUAGGAAAAUGUUCCGUCUAUACAGACAAGUGGACCUUGUAUGAAGUAUGAUAUGGUUGUAUGAUAUGAAGCAAUCAAAAGUUAUGCAUGAAAUAAAAGAGGCAGUAAGAUACCUUAAGGUCUAUGUGGCACAAUGGCGAAUUAUGAUGUCCAAGAAUCUGCAAUUUUUCAAGGUGGUCCCUGCUCCUGCAGUUCAAGAUGAAAUCAGAAAGAUGGGAAGUGUACACCAUCUCAAAGAAAAUAGUACCAAAGCUCUUAGACUAUUCAAUUAUGUAUCUGAAACCACCACAAGCAUUCUGUUAUGACAUGUUGCAGGGAAAACGUGGACCAUAUCAUGUUAACAAAAGUUUCUGUUCCACAUAUCAGUCUAUUUGUGUAGCCAUACCCUGUCAACCAUAGUAGCACAGUUAUGCAAUUUAACACUAUAUACUUUUGACUUCUUUUGGGACACGUGGCACAGUAUCUCAUUCUCAAGGCUAUAUGCUAUCCAGCAAUAAUGAAGAAAGUACCUUUUAAACUGUUCAUGUUCCACUCCUUGACCAGUAGGCUUCUGGGUUCUCUGAAUUACCAGGUUUGAUGAAUUGACACCCUUACUAAUAUUUACAGGUGGGGUAGUCAAUUGUGAAUAAGCUUCAUUGGAUGAAUGGUGCUUGUUGUCAACCGACAGAGAGCUGGCUUCUGAUUCUUCUUCUCUACCUAUUGAACUUGGAUGCCGAAUGAGCACACUUCCAUGUCCUAUUUCAACGGAGACCAUAGGCUUGUCACUUUCUAAAAGCAAAUCUUCUUCAGAAGAUCCAGAGAAGUAUGAGCAUUGUUGUUCAUGUAAGAUGGUAUACAGGUCUUUGGUAAGCUUUUCAACUGAAGAUUGCUUUGGACGAUUGACACAUGUUCUCUUCCUUGAAGGCACCGUUGCAUCCCAUAUAUUUGAUUGGGCGGGGCCUGAAAGCACCAUAAAGGGGUAAAUAUCUCAUGCAGCUAGAGUGAGAAUUCAGUAAAAGGUUUAUCGAACAAAGUCAGGAAGGAUGGAUUGACAAAAGAUACCAAUACAACUUUGAAGACAAUUAAUUCCUUGAGUUUAGGAGUUCAAUUGAAAGAAGAAAUAUAGCUAGACCACUAUAGAAGGUGCAGUAUGAUAAAUUGGUAUAACUGAUCAAAGAUGUAGAAAGAAGGAGCAGGUAAAACCAACAAUGACCACCUGUAUGAUUUCUCUGGUAGCUAUAAAAGAUUGUAUUAGUGUACAGAUAUAUAUAUUGAGGAUACAAGUCAUUAACUUCUAUCGAAGAGAAUGACCUUCACAGAAACUGAACACAGACCUUUUGGGGAAGCAGAAGAGGGUUGGUAAUGUUUUUUGAAAGGUAUGAAAAGUUGGCAGUGUAAAUGAGAGAGGAUGCAGCUUAAGUUGCCGUUUGCAACCCUGCAUUGCAAAAGAAUCUACCUGUCAAAUCACUUGCUUCAGCACUACCAAAUUGUCCAUAGCUUUCAGUGUUUGACACAGCAGAGCCGGAACUUGACCUAUUGCUUGUAUCUUCAUCCAAAGCCUUACGGUGGAAACCCUGAUGAUAUUCAGGAAGAAUUCCAAUUUCAGGAAUAUCAUGACUUUUCUUUCGUUUCAGCAUCUUGACCUCUUUGUUCUUAACAGGAAAGUUUUUGAAUCUUGAGACCCUGUAAUCUUCAAGAUCAUCUGGUUCAGCCCUAGCAUGCAGAGGAGUAUAGUUUACCAGUGUCCCUUUUGUUCGCCACCGAGAUCCACAUGCAUUGCAAAGUAUUGGCUUCUCUGGUGGUCCAUUACGCCAAAGAGGAGUGCCUGCAGCAUGAAUUCACCAUUUAAGACUCUACUCCAAUUAGAUAAUGUGGGAAGAAUGAGAGGCAUCUAAGAAGUAUGACAAUCCAGAAAUGAAUGUUUUCGCAGAAACAUCUUGCUCAUCCCAUGACAAAAUGAUAGUGUAAGCGUGUAAUAAGAAUUUUAACAAGAAUAUUUGUGGCGGAGAAAAUGAAGAGACAAUAGGACAGAGUGAUGAGUUGAAAAGGUAAGUAGUGAUUAUAUACACUGCAGGAUGCUCAACAUUUUCAAGCAUGGAAAGAAAGAAGGAGGAUCCAAUGAAUCGAAACUCAAAAAGGACUAUGAAUGCAACAAACAAACUUAUGGUUAAUUAAAAGAGAAAACAUCUCCUCCAAAUUCACUUAAUUUGAUUAAGAAGUUGCUCCUAUAUAACUAAGAGACAGAUGCGUAUGCAGAAGUCUAUAAGCAUGGCAGUGGUUCAUGCUGUAGACGGGAAGUUAAAUUUAUCAAUGGAUGGCCUCAGGGAGCAAGAAAACAAGAAAGAAUUGGAGAGACGAGGAAGAAUCUAAAAAGUAACUAAGAACAAAUCAAAUUUUCAUUCCCUGAUUUGCAUGAGCAAGAAACACAGAGGCAGAAAUCAUUUUACUGAAAAAUGUAUGAUGAGGAGCUGAACAAAGAGAUAAAUCAAGGUAACUCAAUAAUCAGGGUUAGAAGAGAACUGAGGGAGGUGUCCAGAAAGCCAAAAUGAAGUUCUCCAAACAAGAACUAAGCUGGAAACCAAACAGCACAUUGAGGAACUAAACUAGACAGAUUUGCAAUUAAAUAGUGGUAUAGGACAGACAUCUAAGGCUAUUUACUUGAAGAUAUUUACAUUCCCUCGAAAUGUGCCAUAAUUAAGUAUCGCCUAUAAUAUCUAGCCAAGUUUCAAAUUAUUAUUCAAACCAGUUUAUUUGCAUUCUUGCAACAAAAUGUGCUAGACCAGCUGAUGACAACGUAAUAGAGUCUCCAAUGUAACAAGUCUUUUCAAGACAACUUGAAAUGUUACAGCGACAAUGCGAGCAACAUAUGCAGCAGAAGACAAUAGGGUAAAGAAGAUAUCAUCCAAUGCCUGGAGGAUCUUGCUGCUUCUAGCUGUAGUUCAAACAUUAGGAAGUUUUUAAUGAACAGAUAACAAGAACAAGUGAAGGAGGAGAGUAUGAGGUCAUAUUAAGUUGAAAACAACGAACGCGAUUCAUGGGGAUUACUAAGAUAGGAGCGAAAACCUCAACCCUUUUCUAGUGAUCACUCAUCAAGAGCAUGCUACUAAAACAAGGGACCUGAAGCCAAAGUUGAUAAUGUAUAACUUUGAAGCAAUGAAACACAAAUGUCCCUAGGAAGAACAUCCUUUAAUCAAAUGGACUGACAAUUUGCUUAUAUGGAAUAGGAAAAUCCCCAUGUGUCAUAUCUUUACAUGCUAUCAAAGCCACAUUCAUCCAUGUUUGGGCUCCCGGUUCACGCUCCAACUGAGCCUCGGGUGUGAAGGGGGUCUUAGAAUCCCACAUUGAUUGGAUAAUGGACUGGUGGUUUGCUUAUAUGGACUUUGGUAAUCCUCCCCUUGUUCGCUAGCUUUUGGGGUUGAGUUAGACUCGAGUGUCAUAUCUUUACAAAUCACAAAGAUCAAAGAUCAGAUUCGUUAAUUUAGAAAUAGACCAAUCAACAUUUUCAAGUCAUUUUUGUGCUGCUUUCAUUCCCUAAAGAACCAUAUCAAUGCCACCUUCAGCAAGAACUCAAGUCUGCCCAAACAAUACAUUUCUCUAGAGAAAGUUUAUGUCUAAACUUAAUAGGGAAUUGGAAGAUCAGAAGUGAAGGAAAAUGGAUGCUGAGAAUAUUGAACACAAUCAAAACAUCUUCCAAUUGCAUUGGCAUUUGAAUGGAAUUAAAUUGAACUCUAAAUUGCCCAGUUACUAAGAGACUCAUGGCUAGAUUUUAGAAGACACUGGAGAAGUCAAUGGGCACUGAUAAAAAGAAGAUUGGGAACCAAAAGAAAUCCCAGUUUCAGAAACAAAAUCCAACUCAAAAUCCACAUUGAAUUCCAAAUAUGUAUUUGUAGUCUAUCUUGUCAACAACCCAAUAAUCCAAACAAAACAAAAUUCAAAAACCAAACUGAAUAAGAUGAACAACAACACAUAUUCCUCAUAUUUUUCCCCUUUUCAGAAAAAAUUUCCAUAUGGGACAUCCAGUAUUUUCAUAAUUCAACAACUAAUCUAAACAAACAACAUCAUAUAAAAUAACAAAGAACAAUUCUAUACUGGUAACAACCAAAGACUCAAUUUUUCUUGAAAAUUUCAAAACUUUAUUAUCAAAAACUUCAACACAAUCAAGAAUCAUUAACUCACUUGUAACACCACAGUGAUAGCAAGGCCCUUGCUUUCCCAUCUGUCCAAUAUAACUUUUUUUUCACCCUUGUACAAUUUUACAAAACUGAAAAUGCAAAAAGUUCCAAUUUUUUUUCUUCUUAUACAAAAUAAAAUUGUAUUAUCUAGAAGUUUUGAUUAUUCCCUUCAAUCCCUUUAUAUCAAAUAUACAUAUGGGUUCUUUUUUCUUGAAUAAACCCAAAGAAAGUUAUACAGAAAACACCACAACCAACAACAACAAAAAACAAGACUCAAAAAUAGUCUAUAAAAAGUCCCAAAAAAACCACUGAAUAGAGCAAAAAUUGUGAAGAAGUAAUUAAAAGAUUGAGAUGGGGUUUGUUGUUUUUGAGGUGAGAAUAAUAAUAGAGUGAAGAAAAGAAAAGUCCAUUAUAAAGGAAUCUAAUAAAUGGUUGGAAAAGAGGAAGGUGAAAAUGGGGAAGAAGAGAAGGUGGGUUGUGUUUAUUAUGUAUGACCUCUUUCUCUUUGUUCUUGUGUACCUUUU
This 13379-nucleotide long non-coding RNA is filed under the name Solanum tuberosum (potato). RNAcentral's name for it is "long non-coding RNA (STUB_LNC008535)". Lineage: Eukaryota; Viridiplantae; Streptophyta; Magnoliopsida; Solanales; Solanaceae. The record is from RNAcentral.